GCVAAGCUGGCGGCGUGCCUAAUACAUGCAAGUCUAGCGAAUCGAYGGGAGCUUGCUCCCUGAGAUUAGCGGCGGACGGGUGAGUAACACGUGGGCAACCUGCCUAUAAGACUGGGAUAACUUCGGGAAACCGGAGCUAAUACCGGAUACGUUCUUUUCUCGCAUGAGAGAAGAUGGAAAGACGGUUUACGCUGUCACUUAUAGAUGGGCCCGCGGCGCAUUAGCUAGUUGGUGAGGUAAUGGCUCACCAAGGCGACGAUGCGUAGCCGACCUGAGAGGGUGAUCGGCCACACUGGGACUGAGACACGGCCCAGACUCCUACGGGAGGCAGCAGUAGGGAAUCUUCCGCAAUGGACGAAAGUCUGACGGAGCAACGCCGCGUGAACGAAGAAGGCCUUCGGGUCGUAAAGUUCUGUUGUUAGGGAAGAACAAGUACCAGAGUAACUGCUUGGUACCUUGACGGUACCUAACCAGAAAGCCACGGCUAACUACGUGCCAGCAGCCGCGGUAAUACGUAGGUGGCAAGCGUUGUCCGGAAUUAUUGGGCGUAAAGCGCGCGCAGGUGGUUCCUUAAGUCUGAUGUGAAAGCCCCCGGCUCAACCGUGGAGGGUCAUUGGAAACUGGGGAACUUGAGUGCAGAAGAGGAAAGUGGAAUUCCAAGUGUAGCGGUGAAAUGCGUAGAGAUUUGGAGGAACACCAGUGGCGAAGGCGACUUUYUGGUCUGUAACUGACACUGAGGCGCGAAAGCGUGGGGAGCAAACAGGAUUAGAUACCCUGGUAGUNCACGCCGUAAACGAUGAGUGCUAAGUGUUAGAGGGUUUCCGCCCUUUAGUGCUGCAGCUAACGCAUUAAGCACUCCGCCUGGGGAGUACGGCCGCAAAGGCUGAAANUCAAAGGAAUUUGACGGGGGCCCGCACAAGCGGUGGAGCAUGUGGUUUAAUUSGAAGCAACGCGAAGAACCUUACCAGGUCUUGACAUCCUCUGACAACCCUAGAGAUAGGGCUUUCCCCUUCGGGGGACAGAGUGACAGGUGGUGCAUGGUUGUSGUCAGMUCGUGUCGUGAGAUGYUGGGUUAAGUCCCGCAACGAGCGCAACCCUUGAUCUUAGUUGCCAGCA
This 1116-nucleotide ribosomal RNA is filed under the name Bacillus sp. z5c. RNAcentral describes it as "bacterial SSU rRNA". It matches the Rfam family "Bacterial small subunit ribosomal RNA", at positions 29 to 1123 of the family's 1533-position model. Lineage: Bacteria; Bacillati; Bacillota; Bacilli; Caryophanales; Bacillaceae. The record is from RNAcentral.